CUCUGUCCACCCCCAUAUGAAAUAUUUCUCCUGAAAGUGUCUAAGAGGAAUAAUUCAUAUUUUAUAUGGAUAACUUCUUGCCUUUCCUGCUUAACAUUAAAACCCCCUGUUUAUCAAAACCAGGAAUGGACUUCCAUCUAUUAUCCAUCUAUUUUCAUCUUUUGCUUUUGGGGAUUUUUGAUGAUCCAUGUAGCCCAUGAACCAUGGACUACAGUUGCCCUUCCCUAUUCCAGAUCAUAUUGAAAUAAUUUAUUAAUUAUUGUGUAUCCCACCUUUUGAGCAAAAUUAGGAGUGAGGAGAUUGGAAUAAAAAAUAUAGGACAAAGUACUGCAUUAAACAUGUAGCCACAGUACUGUAGCUGUGCUUGAAGUACACAUCCAACUAUUGAAGCCUACCUUAAAAGCCAGUCAGCCUCCUGCCACAAUAGAUAUCUGAGUUUCUGGAGAGCAGGUCACUGCAGGAUGAGGUGAGGUUUAGGGCCAUUUGCAGUCAUAGCAAUAGUGUUACAAUUGCAAAUAAGAAUAUGAAAUAAGAAUAUGAAAUAAUCUCUUUUAAUUGACUAACAGGAAUCAAUGACAUAACCAGGUUAGUUAGGGAAAAUAGUAUUCAAAGGGAUCUUGAAGCACCUUAUAGAUUGGGAGAACAAAAUUGGCAGCAUAGUUUUUUGUAGACUAAAUCUACCACCUCAGAUACAUGAGGGAAGUAUCGAACCAUAGAUCUUUAUAGGCAGACUGUAUGAACCUUGUCACAUGGCUACUGGCAUCGCUCUGCUUCAUUGGGGAGCGUGGAAAAUCCGGCACCCCACGCCCUGCAUUGCUCAGAUCCAGGGAGUGCACAUAAAACGUGCAGCUUCCUCCUAAUUGAUUGUAUGGCAACAUGGGAGCCCCCUUGGGUUGCCCUGUUGCCCGCAUGGGCCGGUUCUGCCCUCCUUCAGCCAUGGAGCCAUGCCGUCAUUGUCUGAUGGGAGCCAGCCAGGUCUGUGGGUGAUCUAGGCUAAAAUCAGUGCAUGCCACCAUUUUAGCCGUGUGAAGAGGACCUGUGUGUGUUAAUACGCAUAAAUUGCAAAAGCUAUGAGUAUGGUGAUGAGGUGAGUGGUUCAGUUUUGACACUGUUAUCAAGGGACAAAGGCUGGAAGGAGGGAAGGUGCCUAAAGGUGAGACGAAUAGAUAAAAAUAUGAAUGGUGGAGGAAACUAUUGGAAUGUAGUGUGGUGCUGGAUGGGAACAACAAAAAAGGAUAAUUUGAUAAAUUGUCUAAAAGGGCCUUUAUGAGGUAGGUAUGUUAACUAAUGUUAUAUGUGUAGUGCACCAGGAAGCCAUUUCAUCAUUUCAAACAUCUGUUGAUGGACUGGAAUUUGUAGAUAUAUUUCAAUUCUACCAUUUCUCUGUUGUUUUUGUUCUUGGUGGACAGCUGUUCUGCAAGUGAUGAAAGGCCCAGAUAACAAGAUAUCAAGGAUAUUAUUAUUAUUAUCAUUAUGUUUAUGUAUAACCUGCUUUUUUAUCUCCAUAAAAAAGACUCAAAGCGGCUACAAUACUGUAUACUAUAAUGUGAAGUAAGUGUCUCCUAAUCUCCAUGUUUUACUGAUCCACAUGCUUGAACAUAAAGUCACCCAACCUGAUGUAUUAUCUAAUGGGACACAAACAAAGGACUUCAUCACACGCAAUAAAAUUAGCAUUUCUACACAUUUAAGAAAUGGCUACCAACAGAGCACAUCACAUGAUGCAAGUUCAUACUGUGAGUUUCAGGUAUUCAGCCAUUUAUAAAGUGUGGUUUUUUCCCCCUAUGGUUUCUAAGUCGAUUGGCAGCCGACUUCAUUUUAAAUUCUCCAUGUAGAUAUGGGCAAAAAUGUCAAAUUUAACAUAUGAUGGGAAUUCCCCAUUGCCCACUUGUAAACAAAAUGAUGACAUUGUUCUGAAGAAAGGAGCUGAGAUGGGCAGUAUAGAUUCCUUUCUUCUGCCAUAAUCUUUUUGGGACUGGGGAGGAAGGAAUGGUAAUUGAUAUCUUUUUGUUAUCAAUGUAAAUUCAACAGAGUCACCUUUGAAUUGAGAAGAAUCUGUACUUAAAAAGGAAAUUGUAAUUUAAAAUAAUAUAGAGUAGAAGAAAACUUGUUUGAUGAUCUUGCAUUAAAAAGUGCUACCGCGAGGACAAACACAAAGGAUUUUUUCAAGUAAUAGAAAAUGGGGGAGGAGGCAGUGGAAGGAGAAAUAUGUCUUCUGUGUGAUGGGAAGGCAAAUGGAUAAUCUGAAAAGAAAUCUGAAUGAAGGAAAACAUGUUAUGGGGAUAGGAAAAUCAUUUGUUUAAUUUCCAAGCAGGACAUUGCAAAACUUAAGGGAAAAACAACUAUCCCCAACUUUUUCUUAUUACGUGGGAUGAAGUCCAAAGACCAUGGAAAGGUUUUGGACCUGAUCUGUCCACUAUUUUGGGUAACCCUUAAAUAAAAGAUAUACAUUUUUGUAUUUAUUGCUGUAGAAUGCACAGUUUUCGAUGAGUUUUAGACCAAUUUGAUAGAUACACUUGAGUUGACAUCCCAGACUUCUUUGUGUAUGUUUAGAACAGAGUGUCAAACUUUGGCUUUUUUCAAAAACAUGGAAUGUGGUGUGAAACAAGCUUUAAAGCAGUAGGUUAUAUGAUGCAGGUGUUGGUUCCAUUCAAAUCAUAAGUGAAAUAAUCAAUAUCAAUCGGGGGAAUGCUCAGUAAUUUCAUAGCAAGUUAUAACAAAAACAAAGAAAUUAUAAAAUUUAAACAUUUUUUGAUUAAGUGCUGUUUUAAAAGCUACAAGGUACAGGCAGUCCCCAAUUUACAAACAUCUGACUUAUAAACGACCCAUAGUUAAGAAUGGGGGGUGAGACAACAGGAAGUGAGAGAAAUCUACCCCCUUGGAUUGGAAAUUCACUCCUGAAAGUGUUAUCAUGGGGAAAGGUGUCUCAACUGAAGCUUGAUCACCAAUCCUUUCAAAAUUCAAUGAUCACAGGGACAGAAAGUGAGCACAGGAGCACAGACAGCAAAGCAAACACCACAGAGGACUCAACCCUUCCCCAGGUGAUCCAAAAUUGGAGUUACACUUCAAAAAUGCACCUGUUCCAACUUACCUACAAAUUCAACUUAAGAACACUGCAAGUCGCUUCUGGUGUGCAAGGACGUUGCCCAGGGGAUGCCUGGAUGUUUUGAUGUUUUUACCAUCCUUGUGGGAAGCUUCUCUCAUGUCCCCACAUGGAGCUGGAGCUGAUAGAGGGAGCUCAUCCGCGCUCCCCAGUUGGAUUCAAACCUGGCAGCCUUCAGGUCAGCAACCCAACCUUCAAGUCACAAGGCUUUAACCCACUACGCCACCGGGGUUGCAGUUUCUCAAGUCGCCCCUGACAUGAAAAAAACCCCCCAAAAAACCAAAAACUUAAGAACAAACUACAGAACCCAUCUUGUUCAUAAAUUGGGGACUGUCUGUAUUUGUUUCCAGGGUAGAAAAAUAUUUUUAGUCUAAUUCCACCAUAAUUAUGGUAUAUAUUGUGGUCGUUUUCCUUUGUUUCAUAGAAUCAUAGAUUCAUAGAAUAGUAGAGUUGGAAGAGACCUCAUGGGCCAUCCAGUCCAACCCCCUGCCAAGAAGCAGGAAAUCGCAUUCAUAGCACCCCCGACAGAUGGCCAUCCAGCCUCUGUUUAAAAGCCUCCAAAGAAGGAGCCUCCACCACAGUCCGGGGGAGAGAGUUCCAGUGCCGAACAGCUCUCACAGUGAGGAAGUUCUUCCUGAUGUUCAGGUGGAAUCUCCUUUCCUGUAGUUUGAAGCCAUUGUUCCGUGUCCUAGUCUGCAGUGCAGCAGAAAACAAGCUUUCUCCCUCCUCCCUAUGACUUCCCCUCACAUAUUUGUACAUGGCUAUUAUGUCUCCUCUCAGCCUUCUCUUCUGCAGGCUAAACAUGCCCAGUUCUUUAAGCCUCUCCUCAUAGGGCUUGUUCUCCAGACCUUUGAUCAUUUUAGUUGCCCUCCUCUGGACGCUUUCCAGCUUGUCAACAUCUCCCUUCAACUGUGGUGCCCAGAAUUGGGCACAGUAUUCCAGGUAUGGUCUGACCAAGGCAGAAUAGAGGGGAAGCAGGCCAGAAUCCCGUUGGCUUUCUUAGCAGCUGCAUCACAUUGCUGGCUCAUGUUUAACUUGUUGUCCACAAGGACUCCAAGAUCUUUUUCACAUGUACUGCUGUCUAGCCAGGUGUCCCCCAUUCUGUAUCUUUGCAUUCCAUUUUUUCUGCCGAAGUGAAGUAUCUUGCAUUUGUCCCUGUUGAACUUCAUUUUGUUAGUUUCGGCCCAUCUCUCUAGUCUGUCAAGAUCGUUUUGAAUUCUGCUUCUUUCUUCUGGAGUGUUGGCUAUCCCUCCCAGUUUGGUGUCGUCUGCAAACUUGAUGAUCGUGCCUUCUAACCCUUCGUCUAAGUCGUUAAUAAAGAUGUUGAACAGAACCGAGCCCAGGACAGAACCCUGCGGCACUCCACUCGUGACUUCUUUCCAAGAUGAAGACGACGCAUUGAAAUAAGACAGCAGAGCAGCAAACAGAGGGAACUCCAGGAUUACCUGAAGAAGGUCUACCUGAAGAAGGUCACCGAAACUGGAUGCAUACCCGGGAGACCAGUCGUUACUAUUGACAUGGAACUUUGUUGCUAUUGAUAAGGAACUUUUAUUUACUAUUGACAUGGAACUUUGAUUUACUUUGAAUGGUCGAAUUUGAAGAAGAGUACUACAAACCUUGAGAACACUAUCAAGAUUGUAUUUGUUAAAAUUGGACAUUGAAAUAUGUACUUAUCUGUACAGUUGGAAUAUGUAAAUUGAUAUUACAGUCAUAAUAUAUGUGAUUAUAUCACUUGAGGAAAUAUAGAACUAUAACUUACUUUAAAGUACAA
Molecule: RNA transcript, 4871 nt
Organism: Anolis carolinensis (green anole)
Lineage: Eukaryota; Metazoa; Chordata; Lepidosauria; Squamata; Anolidae
Exons: 2
Source: RefSeq, a predicted model, not a curated record